CUACUCCUAGGACCCAGUACUGUGCCUGGAUACAUGAAAGGGCCAUGGAUACAUUUGACUGCAACACAUUGAGAGCAUUAACGAUGUGAAGAUGGUCUACCUGUUGCACCUAUAACCAGCCAGGAACAGAAGCCAGACAACAGGAACCAGGACUGGAACUGGACCCUCAGGAAUUAGGAACACAGGCACCACCAACAGGAGCCACCAGCUAAGAAGUUGCCAACAGGACCAAAGAUCUUCUGGAACAAGCAGAUUACACGCUCAGGUCACAUGAUGUUUCCCACCUUUUGGGUUGCCAGGCAGACUACAACUGUCUCUGAGCAUUUUUCAAAAGCUUUUCGCCAACUAAACAUUAGCACCAAAAAGGGUGCCAACCAUGGCAACAAGAAGGAAGCCCACGAUGGAGGAUGAACUGACUGCAGCCUAAACAAAAUUGCUAAACCAGGUGACACCUAUCCCAUGGAUGAGCCAGGAAGCCCAUGUUCUAAGGACAUACAGGCAUGUGUCUGAGGACU
Mauremys mutica (yellowpond turtle) is the source of this 515-nucleotide long non-coding RNA. RefSeq lists it as uncharacterized. The transcript has 3 exons. Lineage: Eukaryota; Metazoa; Chordata; Testudines; Geoemydidae. The record is from RefSeq and is a predicted model, not a curated record.